RNAcentral lists this ribosomal RNA (567 nucleotides) under uncultured Alphaproteobacteria bacterium. Its description in RNAcentral is "partial 16S ribosomal RNA". Lineage: Bacteria; Pseudomonadati; Pseudomonadota; Alphaproteobacteria. The record is from RNAcentral.
UUGGGAGCUCUCCCAUAUGGUCGACCUGCAGGCGGCCGCGAAUUCACUAGUGAUUCGUAUUACCGCGGCUGCUGGCACGGAGUUAGCCGGAGCUUAUUCUCCCGGUACUGUCAUUAUCAUCCCGGGUAAAAGAGCUUUACAACCCUAAGGCCUUCAUCACUCACGCGGCAUUGCUGGAUCAGGCUUUCGCCCAUUGUCCAAUAUUCCCCACUGCUGCCUCCCGUAGGAGUCUGGGCCGUGUCUCAGUCCCAGUGUGGCUGAUCAUCCUCUCAGACCAGCUAAGGAUCGUCGCCUUGGUGCGCCUUUACCACACCAACUAGCUAAUCCUACGCGGGCUCAUCCCUCGGCGAUAAAUCUUUGGACUUACGUCGUCAUCCGGUAUUAGCAGUCAUUUCUAACUGUUAUUCCGAACCAAGGGGCAGAUUCCCACGCGUUACGCACCCGUGCGCCACUAAGGCCGAAGCCUUCGUUCGACUUGCAUGUGUUAGGCAUGCCGCCAGCGUUCGUUCUGAGCCAUGAUCAAACUCUAAUCGAAUUCCCGCGGCCGCCAUGGCGGCCGGGAGCAUG